UUGGAGGGCAAGUCUGGUGCCAGCAGCCGCGGUAAUACCAGCUCCAAUAGCGUAUAUUAAAGUUGUUGCAGUUAAAAAGCUCGUAGUUGAAUUUCGGGAUCAGAGUGUCGGUCGUGCCUCGGUACGUACUGGUAUUAUUGGUUCCUACCUUCUGAAGAACCGCGAUGUCAUUAAUUUGGUGUCGUGGGGAAUCAGGACUGUUACUUUGAAAAAAUUAGAGUGUUUAAAGCAGGCUUACGCUUGAAUACAUUAGCAUGGAAUAAUGAAAUAGGACGUUGGUUCUAUUUUGUUGGUUUCUAGGAUUGACGUAAUGAUUAAUAGGGAUAGUUGGGGGCAUUAGUAUUCAAUUGUCAGAGGUGAAAUUCUUGGAUUUAUUGAAGACUAACUACUGCGAAAGCAUUUGCCAAGGAUGUUUACGUUAAUCAAGAACGAAAGUUAGGGGAUCGAAGACGAUCAGAUACCGUCGUAGUCUUAACCAUAAACUAUGCCGACUAGGGAUCGGAUGAUGUUAAUUUUUUAAUGACUCAUUCGGCGCCUUACGGGAAACCAAAGUGUUUGGGUUC
RNAcentral lists this ribosomal RNA (563 nucleotides) under uncultured Glomeromycotina. RNAcentral describes it as "SSU rRNA". It matches the Rfam family "Eukaryotic small subunit ribosomal RNA", at positions 548 to 1114 of the family's 1831-position model. The record is from RNAcentral. Lineage: Eukaryota; Fungi; Glomeromycota.